UCAGGCCCCAGGCGGGCCCUGCACCCCCCAGGAGGGCCCGGCUCAGCGGGCGGGGCUCCCCGAGAGGCCGCGGUUGCCUGCCGGGCUCCCGAGGGUCUUCCCCGCGGCGCAUCCCCUCCCGCGGCAGCUGAAAGGUGGACUGCUGUCUUCUGAGGACAUUGUGUAUGAUUUCUUUCCCCUCUUUUAAGUCUACACCUAAUGCUUUGUGGAACCUGCUUUGGGAAAAGAUGGCUUCACUACCAAAAAUGAACGUCAACAAAAAGAAAAAUAUCUGAAUACAAAUGAAAUCUGUAACUAUUUAUGGAAAAUAUUUUCUAUUAACCAACCAAGUAGAAAUAGCUAGAACAAAAGGAAAGAUUUUAUUUACAGUGUUUUCAUUCCUUAAAAUAAGGGCCCGUGAAUGGCUUUUUGUCCUUUCCUUUUUUAAGUCAGUAUUAUUAGUCAGAAUAGGCUGGGUUAAUGCAAUAAUAAAUAAACCCUUAAGCUUAGUGCUUAA
This is a long non-coding RNA of Canis lupus familiaris (dog), 496 nucleotides long. RefSeq lists it as uncharacterized. The transcript has 3 exons. Lineage: Eukaryota; Metazoa; Chordata; Mammalia; Carnivora; Canidae. The record is from RefSeq and is a predicted model, not a curated record.